Long non-coding RNA from Vigna unguiculata (cowpea), 2001 nucleotides. NCBI's taxonomy places the organism in Eukaryota, Viridiplantae, Streptophyta, Magnoliopsida, Fabales, Fabaceae. The record is from RefSeq and is a predicted model, not a curated record.
UCUCCUAAUUUUUUUAACCUUUCCUUCCAGAGUUUUACAUUCUCGCUCUACUCAAGGGUUUCCACACAUUUCCAAACCCACAUUCUCGUUUUUGUUCAGAAUGCUCUGUCAAGCUCGAUUUGAAUUCAUCAAAUCAGCAUUCAUCUUCUCAUCUCCGUCCAAGGUUUUACACUCACUCUCCUAAAUUUUUUCCUAAAUAUCCAAACACUAGCAUUUUCGUUUUUGUUCAGAAAGGUCCGUCAUCAAAUUGGCGUUUUGAAAGCUCGUUCUAGAAGUUCGAUUUGGAUCCAUCAAACCGAUAUUCAUCUUCGUCCUCGCUCAUCUGCCAGUGCUCGUCAUCUCCGUCAUCGCUCAUCGGCCAGUGGUCGUCGUCAAUGCUUGUUGGCCGUUGCUCGUCUCUCAGUGAUCGUCUCUUAGUGAGUGUGGGUUUGACCCUAAUUUUUUAACCCUCUUUGAUAUGCAGAGAGAUGUUUGCUCUAGUCCUUUCAUUUGGCCUUCUCCUCACUGCAUUAAGAAGCAGAAAGGCUAGGUCAUGGCGCUAUGGUUGUGUAGCAGACUAUUUAUCUCUUUCUUUCUGGGAUGAGAUUGGGGAGAGUGACAAUGAUAGAGACAACAUGCUUCUUCAACUGGAGCAAGAAUGCUUGGAUAUUUAUCACAGGAGAGUUAAGGAGACGAGGAAGCACAAGGCUGACAUAUAUUAAUGGGUGGCAGAUGCUGAAGCUCAAGCAACUAAUAUUGUUUCUUCCCUUAGGGAAUCUACAAUGCUCCCACGAGGAAAAGGAUCCUUGAAGCAGCAAUUAGCUGCCAUUAAACUUGUCUUAGAGGAUUUGAGGUCAAAGAAGGAUGAAAGAAUAAAGGAAUUUUUAGAGAUAAAGUCCCAAAUUUCUCAGAUAUGUGAUGAAAUAGCAGGUUGUGGACAGUACACAAGUGUCACAGACUCAGAUGUAAAUCAAAGUGAUCUGACAUCAAAGAAAUUGGGGGAACUCAAGUCGCAUCUACAGGAGCUUCAGAAUGAAAAGAAAUAGUCACCAGAUUUGAAGAAACACAAGUGCAUCAGGGUAGAUUUCUCUCCUAAGGGUUAAAAGAGUGAAUAACAUGUGGAAUGAUGGCUUCUCAAUUUUAGGCUUUUCUUGAUGCUACUGAGUGUCUCUAUAAAACACAAAAGCUUGCCGGCAAACCUGCUGGAAUUAUCUCCCGCACUCGAUACCAAGGUGGUCAAGAAGAGACUACAAUUACAUUAUUUACUGAUUGUGAUGGUAUCAUCCCUCUAGUUCACCGUGGAAUGGUAUUUGUUCCAUUUGGAAUAAGAUUUACAUACAACCAUGAGUUUGAAAAUAUGGAGGAAGUCAAAAGGUGGAAGUCCUUAUGGUUCACGAGCAUGGCUAUUACUUGUAUACUUUGUGUGUUUGACGCAAAGAAAGCUAAUAGAUUUGAAGUAAUCACUUCCUCCAGCGAAACUGAAAGAUAUGAGCAAUUUUGUCAUGGGCCGCUUUGGGAUGAUUGUGGACAACUUUAAAGUUGUCAAAGAUCCAAACAUUAGUUCUUAUUCUAUCUCAUUCCAACAUUAAUUUGUGUACAGAAAAGUCAUAGCAUCAAUGAUGUUUGAAACUUUUUUAACUCUAUUUGCUAAUAUUUGGUUAGGUCUCGGUUUCAUUAAUUCCAUAACUUUCAUUUUCUUGGUUGGGGUUUUCUUGUCAUUAUGGUUGGGUGCAUCUGUCCUGGGCCUUGGGGAGUGGUUUAUCAAGCGAAUGCCACUUGUUCAUCUUAUUGAUUGGAAAAGAAUAGGUUCUUUCUAUAUGUGUCCUUUUCUUCAUUUUAUCUCUAAUUUCUAUUUCCCAUUUCUAACUUUUUCUUCAAACAGUGACGUCGUCCACAUGGUUAGCUAUGCACUUCUCUUCGUAAAUGCCAACGAUAGAAGAAGGUGGACACCGGAUGCAGUUGUAUUUGAUUCUCACCCGCGCAUGGAACUCCCAGCUAUUUGAUUUUUGUGUAUAUUUUUUC